Calidris pugnax (ruff) is the source of this 3651-nucleotide RNA transcript. It is a transcript of the gene named NFKB repressing factor, with no coding region annotated. NCBI's taxonomy places the organism in Eukaryota, Metazoa, Chordata, Aves, Charadriiformes, Scolopacidae. The transcript is spliced from 5 exons. The record is from RefSeq and is a predicted model, not a curated record.
CAUGGGCUGCAGAUAUGGCUUGCAGGUCAUGGAGAAGGUUCUCAAGAUGGCUGAAGGCAUCGAUAUCGGGGAAACGAGGUCGUAUGAGUUGGUCCCUAGCAAGAAGCUAAAAAGACACCGCUCUCCAUCUGACAGUCCUGAGCCAGAAGAGACUCCUGAGCCACCCAAAAAGAUGGUCCCCAAGUUCCGGGUGCGACCACGUUUUGAACCCAUACACUUUGUCACCAGUGCUGAGAAGGGUGACAAGAAGGAAGAAUCUCUGGAUAACCAAAUGCAGGAGGUGAACCAGGAGGCACAUACAAACAGCAUCGUGCAGCCAGCUGAAAAUUGUAUGAAUUCUUUUGCGAAUGCACGGGAGGCGGAUGGCCAGCUCUCCAACUGCGCUGGGCUGGGCUUUGCAAGCCAGGCAGCAGCAGCCCAGAAGGCUGUGAAUAGCGUGGACUCCACCACAAGCAGCACGUUGCAGGUUUCUGUUUCUCCUUCAACUGUCCAGUCUGCGUCAGAGACUUUCCCUCCAUCAGCUAUAAUGCUGAAGCAGAGUUUUAUUGAGAAACUGUCAGCAGCUGUCUGGAAAAAUCUUACUAACCCAGAUGCAAACACUGGGACUGAUAAAAUUAACUUUACUUAUCUUUUGACGCGUUCAAUUCAGGCAUGCAAGACAAAUCCUGAAUAUAUUUAUGUUCCUCUGAAGGAAAUUGCCCCUGCUGACCUCCCCAAGAGCAAGAAGCUCCUAACAGAUGGCUUCGCUUGUGAAGUGCGGUGUCAGAAUGUCUACCUGGCCACCGGUUACGCCGGCAGCAAAAACGGAUCCAGGGAUCGUGCUGCGGAGCAGGCAGUCAAGCUGCUGAAGAAGUCUGUGGAGGUUCGAGUGGUGCAGCGGAAGUUCAAGCACACCUAUCACGAAGACUUGGUGGUGUGUGAGGCUGGCGUGAGCCGCCCGGAUUUCCCCCCUGCCCUUAAACCUCACGAGGAGUUUGUAGUUGCCAACAGGGACUGUGUCCCGAUGCAGCCCGGUGCUGAAUCCGUGAAAGGUUCCACUAAUACCAACAAACACUGGACUAGUUUUGUCCUCACAGAGAACGCCAGCGACGCAAUAGGAAUACUUAACAAUUCUGCCUCGUAUAACAAAAUGUCUGUUGAGUAUAAAUAUGAAUUAAUGCCCAACCGCUCGUGGCGCUGUCAAGUGUAUCUCCAAGACCACUGCUUGGCCGAGGGAUUUGGCACCAAGAAGACCAGCAAGCACGCAGCAGCCGAGGAGGCUCUGAAAAUUCUGCAGAAGAUGCAGUCAAAUGUAACAGCCAUCAAGGUGACCCAGGUGCAGAAGGUGGGCUGCUCGUCGCGGGGCUCCGGAAGGAAGAAAGACCUAAAGGACCUCGUGGUUUAUGAGAACUCCAGCAAUCCCGUGUGUACGCUGAACGACACCGCCCAGUUCAACAAGAUGACGGUGGAGUAUGUCUUUGAAAGGAUGACUGGCAUGCGAUGGAAAUGCAAGGUGCUGCUUGAAGACGAAUUCAUCGCAGAAGCAGUUGGAGUGAAAAAAUCUGUCAAGCAUGAGGCAGCAGAGGAAGCUGUGAAAAUCCUCAAAAAGACUCAGCCAACUGUUGUUAAUAACCUGAAGAAAGGCACCGUCGAAGACGUCAUCUCCAGAAAUGAGAUUCGGGGUCGAUCGGCAGAAGAGGCUUUCAAACAGAAGAUCAAAGAAGACAACAUCGGGAACCAAAUUUUAAGAAAGAUGGGCUGGACAGGCGGUGGCCUGGGGAAAGAUGGUGAAGGAAUUAGAGAGCCAAUUUCAGUGAAGGAGCAGUUUAAAAGGGAAGGACUCGGGCUUGAUGUAGAAAGGGUGAACAAAAUCGCUAAAAGAGAUAUUGAGGAGAUCAUUCGAAACUAUGCACGCUCAGACAGUCACAUUGACUUGACUUUCUCUAGAGAACUGAACAUGGACGAGCGGAAGCAGAUACAUCAGAUCGCCCAAAAAUAUGGUCUUAAAAGUAAAUCUCAUGGGCAGGGCCACAACAGAUACCUGGUGGUGAGCAGGAAGCGGCGCAAGGAGGAUCUGUUGGACCAGCUGAAACAAGAGGGUCAGAUUUCUGCCUUGAGUCUCCCAUACUGAGAGUCAGUCGUCAGUGUAUUGGACUGGUAAUUCCAGUGCAUUUUUUGCCUUGACAUGUGCAAAUACCACGGUGAAGUGUGACAUAUAAAAACCGGAGGUAAACGCGGAGCCCACGCAGCAAAGAUGCUCCUGGAGCUUGUGGGGACUGUUAUAUAACUUAUUUUUUUACUUCCAAUAUAAGCUCUUUAAUCCCCAGCAAAAUCAAAUCUGUGCCUAAUUAUUUCUGUGCUCCGUUACUGUACCUGUGCUUGUGUAUGUCGGGGGCGAUGGACAAGUAAAGGUUCUGGUGUUGCUCCCACGUGUGGUGUGAGUGUGGCCUCUCUCGGGGACGCCGGAGCCUCCUGCUUGGGACACGGGUUGGGAAUUGACCUCGGAGGAGCCAAGAGUGAGACGUGCCAAGAGGUGCUGGGUUGUUUCUGUCACCACUGGGGCUGACGAGGAUCCUUGAGUCCAAAGCCAGUCCUGAUGGAGCGGGUUUUGUCCGUUCUCCUCUUGCCUUGUGUCUCAGGAAUCGCUUCUGGUUUGCUGCUGCCUGUAUUUUCCUCUCCAUCUUCUUACAUCAUCCUCUACUUUUUUUCCCCCCACCUACUGUUUCCCCUUUAAAUACUUUCAGGGCUGAGGAGCGGGUGGCUGAUCUCUACUGAUGAAGCAGAAUUUCCCGGCGAUGUGCAGUUAGAGGCGUUUUCGUCCCCUUGGUGUGAAAAGGAAGAGGCUGCCCUGGCAGAGUUGAAAAAAUACUUUCAUAAAAGGGAGGGGAAACUAACUCGAGCAUGCAGCAGGAGCUCACAGGAACCACACGGUAAUUGAUGAAGAGCAGGAACUGCAGAGACUCAAGUGCCUACCCCAUACUUAAUUCACACUUUCUGCAAGGCAAAGUCACAUCCCAAAGAACUUAUCUUCCUCGGCUAAAGAUAAGGGGGCGGGAGAAAGACACCGACCAAGAGUAAUUCCACUGCUGGAACACUUCAGGUUUUACCUCUUCCUGAUGUGGAAGGUCUUUCGCUCAGAGUACCACAGCUCUACCUGGUUUUGUCCAGUAAUGCCUCAGUGACAGGACUAGAGAAACUUAGUGAAGCAGUCCCUGUAGGCAUGUCCUUUAAAAUAAAAUAAUAAUAAAAAAAAAAGGGGGUUUGUUUCUCACCCUAAGCACAGAUCAAAGUACCACAACUGUAGUGAUUUAUGUAUAUCUGUACAUAAAUCUUGCAUGUGAAGUGCAGAAGUAACUAGCAUUCACGGUCUUACUAAAUAUGUGAAUUUGAAUCAAUUUAAGAGUUUUUUGUUUACAUUUUUUUUUUUUCCAUGAGCAAGGAGUCGACAAACUGAUACAAAAGGGAAACAAGAGGUUAUUUCUUCACUCCGUACUUACAAAUGCAGUGGGGUCUAAACCAAUAGUAGAGGUAAAUGACCAGCCUGGACAGAUCAGCACUUUAGUUAAUAUCAGUUAAAAAAUGUGUAUGUAUAUAAACAUCCCUUUUAUCAAGCUACACAUAAGCGUCACUGUGUAUAACACAAUUACAAUUAAAAGCUUAGUGUACACUACA